Molecule: ribosomal RNA, 438 nt
Filed under: uncultured Methanomicrobiales archaeon
Lineage: Archaea; Methanobacteriati; Methanobacteriota; Methanomicrobia; Methanomicrobiales
Description: bacterial SSU rRNA
Rfam family: Archaeal small subunit ribosomal RNA
Source: RNAcentral
UUUAAUCGGACUCAACGCCGGGAAACUCACCAGAUAAGACAGCUGAAUGAUAGUCGGGCUGAAGACUCUACUUGACUAGCUGAGAGGAGGUGCAUGGCCGUCGUCAGUUCGUACUGUGAAGCAUCCUGUUAAGUCAGGCAACGAGCGAGACCCACGCCAACAGUUGCCAGCUCGUCCUCCGGGAUGGUGGGGACACUGUUGGGACCGCCUCUGCUAAAGAGGAGGAAGGAAUGGGCAACGGUAGGUCAGCAUGCCCCGAAUUAUCUGGGCUACACGCGGGCUACAAUGGGUGGGACAAUGGGUAUCGACACCGAAAGGUGAAGGCAAUCUCCUAAACCCAUCCGUAGUUCGGAUUGUGGGCUGCAGCUCGCCCACAUGAAGCUGGAAUCUGUAGUAAUCGUGUCUCAAAAUGGCACGGUGAAUAUGUCCCUGCUCCUU